UGCAACUACAACAAAAAUAGUUGACACAAUAGCUAAGUCUAAAAAGUAAAGGCAAACAAAAUAAAAAAAAUCCCAAGAUUAGCAUCAAGUAAGCCCUAAGUUAGUCUUGGAGCAAACUUUGCUUAAAAACAAUAGAAAACCUCUUGCAGUACACCAAAAGGUAACACAAAUGUAGACGAUAAGUUGAUUUUAUUUUAUGCUAAAAUAAUUCAUAAUUCAAAGUUGAAGGUUUCUGUGAACUGCACCUUUAAAUGUCAUCACGGCGAGUCAACUCAUUAAUAUUCAUGUUUCAGGACAAAGACAAAUCAGCAGACGGACAUUUGAUGACGUCAACAAACAGUUUUUACUACUUAUAAAAUAAAAAUGGCGUCGUCGUUGUUUUUCUGACUCCGUAUCGACGACAGUGUUAGUGAGUUAAUGGCGGUGAAAUACGUUGUUGGUUUAAGUUAAGUAUAAAGAGGGACAGCUUUACUGACUCUUGUGUUCGUGUGUUUCUUUAUUUUUACCCCUCUUUCUCAGAAAAUAAUACCUGAUAAACUAACGUUCACCACAAGUACCGCCGUAGCUGUCACUACGUCACACCACCUCUACGUAAUUUCAUUUAUUGAUUCAUUUAUUUCCAAAGAUGAUCAAUAUGGUCUGAAUAAUGACCUCGACUUGAUGACGUUUUCUACAGUUCCGGUUCAAAACGACUACAUUGUGAUACUCUGUCUUAACGAUUAAAUAUUAAAGUAAUGGCUUUACAGUAGGACCAACUGAACGGCGUCGUAGAAGGCUUCUAGCUGCACUUUAGCAUCUGGGACACAAGAGGGCAGUGCUGCUACAGCUGGCCGUGGAGAAAAUUGGCGUCCGCCGGUCCAGUGCAUACUUCUCAAAGUGAGGCCGGACCCUCCUGCGGGCCACGUAAAGAUCGGUUCUAGCACGGUAGAACUCAGUAGUACAAUCAUACAGGUGACCUGAAGACAACACUGCUGCUCUACCUAGGAGACAUUCUUCUUCUUGAGGUAAGAGGACAGUGACAUUAUGUUGUUUUGCUGUUAAAGGUCCAUAGCAAAGAGGCUGAAGGGCCACACGUGGUUCAGGAGCCACAGGUUUGUGAAUUUGUGAAAUACCUCUAUUUGUGUAUUUUAAUCAAAUUCAGAACAAAUCUACAUUCUUGCCUUAAAGUGUUAAAGCCGAAGCUGGUCAGAAGUUCCAAGAACUCCACCGUCCUCAAGUCAAACUCCCAGACGCAGUGAUGCUGAGGAGGAGAAGAAGAAGGAUCCACCUGAGAAAGACGGCAGACGUCAGUCCAAGAGGAAAGUGUUGUUUUCACACUCACUGCACAAACACCAAACUGACAAACGGCCACAGACUCCACCAUCCAUCAUCCCCGUCUCCACCUGUGGACUCAUGAGAACAAAGAGAGAGGAACACCACUUUCUGGACUUCAGACAAAAACCUGACUCGACUUCCUGGA
Molecule: long non-coding RNA, 1459 nt
Organism: Cynoglossus semilaevis (tongue sole)
Lineage: Eukaryota; Metazoa; Chordata; Actinopteri; Pleuronectiformes; Cynoglossidae
Exons: 3
Source: RefSeq, a predicted model, not a curated record